AUGGAACCAGAUGGAAAGACAUGGAAUGAAACCCUCAUCAAGCAAAUUUUCCACACUUUUGAUGCCGAUGAGAUUUGCAAGCUAAAAAUUCCAGAAUCGAAUGUGGGAGACUAUGUCGCUUGGCACUAUGAGAAGAAUGGAGUAUUCUCAGUUAAGAGUGCCUAUAAAUUGGCCGCGGCUAACCAGGACCUAUCAUUGCAAAGCCCCUCGAGUUCUUCCAGGGACCCAGAUGAUAGGAGCAUUUGGGAUCUUAUUUGGAAGGCUAAAGUGCCCGGGAGGGUCAGGAUCUUUGCUUGGAGGGUGGCUACAAAUACUCUAGCUACUAAAAGAAACGAGUGGAAGAGAACUUUGGAAGUGGAUGCGACCUGCAGUAUAUGUGGAAAUGGUGAAGAGGACGAACACCAUGCAGUAAUAACAUGUACCAAGAGUCGAGCCCUACGUGCAGAAAUGAGAAAAAUUUGGGCCUUACCGGCUGAGAACAAACUGAGAUAUACAGGAGCUGAUUGGUUGCAAGUUGCACUCGAUGCGGAAAACGAGGAGGUUCGAACAAAUCUGCUGCUGCUCAUCUGGCGCUGUUGGCAUCAUAGGGAGGAUUGCAUGCGAAACAAUGGAGAGGAAUCC
Molecule: ribosomal RNA, 621 nt
Filed under: Triticum aestivum (bread wheat)
Lineage: Eukaryota; Viridiplantae; Streptophyta; Magnoliopsida; Poales; Poaceae
Description: partial small subunit ribosomal RNA
Source: RNAcentral